This 442-nucleotide long non-coding RNA is filed under the name Phasianus colchicus (ring-necked pheasant). RNAcentral's name for it is "lncRNA (ENSPCLG00000005559.1)". The record is from RNAcentral. Lineage: Eukaryota; Metazoa; Chordata; Aves; Galliformes; Phasianidae.
UUUAUAGGCCAAGUGCUGAAGAGCCUCAAGAGAUUAUGAAAUAAUCCAAAUGGAAGUGCUUGAAAGACUGUUUCUUGGGAUACAGAGAACCAGUCUGGAAAAACACCAUGGAGACAAGACUCUGGGGAUCAACCCUCCCUUAGCUCUUGGUUAUGGAUCAAACAAGCUUUUUCCAUCUGUGUUUUCUUCCAUGAAACAUAACCCCUCUGGAUCCAGUGCAAGGAGCACCAAGGAGCAGGAGGAGAGGGGAGGUGCCACCUGUAUCCAGUUGUUUCAUCAGUUCCUUGCAGCCCACUUGCAAGAAAAGCCAAGUGAAUCUCAGAAGACACGAGCAGUUAUUCACCUGAGAAUGGGAGGUGGGUUUGUCUGCCUUAUCUCUCUGAAGAUGCCCUCCAUUAUAAAUCUGCUGGAUACAAGGACCCUGGGAUGCUUUUUGGAGUAG